UCCGAAUGGGGAAACCCACUGCUUCGGCAGUAUCCUGCAGUGAAUUCAUAGCUGCUGGAAGCGAACCCGGUGAACUGAAAUAUCUAAGUAACCGGAGGAAAAGAAAUCAACCGAGAUUCCCUAAGUAGUGACGAGCGAACGGGGAGCAGCCCUUAAGCUGGAAUGGCUUUAGAAAAACAAUCUGGAAAGAUUGGCCAUAGAAGGUGAUAGCCCUGUAUUUAAAAGGGCCACUCCAGUGAAGACGAGUAGGGCGGGGCACGUGAAACCCUGUCUGAAUAUGGGGGGACCAUCCUCCAAGGCUAAAUACUCCUGACCGACCGAUAGUGAACCAGUACCGUGAGGGAAAGGCGAAAAGAACCCCGGAGAGGGGAGUGAAAUAGAUCCUGAAACCGUGUGCGUACAAGCAGUAGGAGCUCGCAAGAGUGACUGCGUACCUUUUGUAUAAUGGGUCAGCGACUUACUGUUCGUGGCAAGCUUAACCGUAUAGGGGAGGCGAAGGGAAACCGAGUCUGAUAAGGGCGCAUAGUCGCGGGCAGUAGACCCGAAACCGGGUGAUCUAGUCAUGGCCAGGGUGAAGGUGCCGUAACAGGUACUGGAGGCCCGAACCCACGUCUGUUGCAAAAGACGGGGAUGAGCUGUGAUUAGGAGUGAAAAGCUAAUCGAACCCGGAGAUAGCUGGUUCUCCUCGAAAGCUAUUUAGGUAGCGCCUCAUAUGUAUCCUCUCGGGGGUAGAGCACUGUUAUGGCUAGGGGGUCAUCGCGACUUACCAAACCAUUGCAAACUCCGAAUACCGAGACGGACUGUAUGGGAGACACACGGCGGGUGCUAACGUCCGUCGUGAAAAGGGAAACAACCCAGACCCACAGCUAAGGUCCCAAAUUCACUGCUAAGUGGAAAACGAUGUGGAAAGGCAUAGACAGCCAGGAGGUUGGCUUAGAAGCAGCCACCCUUUAAAGAAAGCGUAAUAGCUCACUGGUCGAGUCGGUCUGCGCGGAAGAUUUAACGGGGCUAAGCAGUGAACCGAAGCUUGGGGUGCAUAAAACUUGUUUUAUGCGCGGUAGAGGAGCGUUCCGUAAGCCUGCGAAGGUGGAUUGAGAAGUCUGCUGGAGGUAUCGGAAGUGCGAAUGCUGACAUGAGUAACGAUAAUGCGGGUGAAAAGCCCGCACGCCGAAAGCCCAAGGUUUCCUUGCGCAACGUUAAUCGACGCAGGGUUAGUCGGUCCCUAAGGCGAGGGCGAAAGCCGUAGUCGAUGGGAAGCAGGUUAAUAUUCCUGCACCUCGCGUGAGUGCGAUGGAGGGACGGAGAAGGUUAGGUGUACCGGGCGUUGGUUGUCCCGGGGAAAGGCGGUAGGUUUGGAUCUUUGGCAAAUCCGGGAUCCUUUAAGACCGAGCACCGAGACGAGCCUUUAUGGCAAAGUCACUGAUACCACGCUUCCAGGAAAAGCUCCUAAGCUUCAGCUCACGAAGACCGUACCGUAAACCGACACAGGUGGGUAGGAUGAGAAUUCUCAGGCGCUUGAGAGAACUCGGGUGAAGGAACUAGGCAACAUGGCACCGUAACUUCGGGAGAAGGUGCACCCUUUUUGGUGGCUCGUGCGAGCUAUAGCUGAAGAGGGUCGCAGAAACCAGGCCGCUGCGACUGUUUAUCAAAAACACAGCACUCUGCAAACACGAAAGUGGACGUAUAGGGUGUGACGCCUGCCCGGUGCUGGAAGGUUAAUUGAUGGGGUCAGCCGCAAGGCGAAGCUCUUGAUCGAAGCCCCAGUAAACGGCGGCCGUAACUAUAACGGUCCUAAGGUAGCGAAAUUCCUUGUCGGGUAAGUUCCGACCUGCACGAAUGGCGUAACGACAGCGGCGCUGUCUCCACCCGAGACUCAGUGAAAUUGAAAUCGCUGUGAAGAUGCAGCGUUCCCGUGGCAAGACGGAAAGACCCCGUGAACCUUUACUAUAGCUUUACACUGAACGUUGAGUUCGUCUGUGUAGGAUAGGUGGGAGGCUAUGAAACUGUGGCGCUAGCUGCAGUGGAGCCAUCCUUGAAAUACCACCCUGUCGUGCUUGACGUUCUAACCUAGAUCCGUUAUCCGGAUCGGGGACCGUGUAUGGUGGGUAGUUUGACUGGGGCGGUCUCCUCCUAAAGAGUAACGGAGGAGCACGAAGGUACGCUCAGCGCGGUCGGACAUCGCGCACUGUGUGCAAAGGCAUAAGCGUGCUUGACUGCAAGAUCGACGGAUCAAGCAGGUACGAAAGUAGGUCUUAGUGAUCCGGUGGUUCUGUAUGGAAGGGCCAUCGCUCAACGGAUAAAAGGUACUCCGGGGAUAACAGGCUGAUACCGCCCAAGAGUUCAUAUCGACGGCGGUGUUUGGCACCUCGAUGUCGGCUCAUCACAUCCUGGGGCUGUAGUCGGUCCCAAGGGUAUGGCUGUUCGCCAUUUAAAGUGGUACGCGAGCUGGGUUCAGAACGUCGUGAGACAGUUCGGUCCCUAUCUGCCAUGGGCGUUGGAAGUUUGAGAGGGGCUGCUCCUAGUACGAGAGGACCGGAGUGGACGAACCUCUGGUGUUCCGGUUGUCACGCCAGUGGCAUUGCCGGGUAGCUAUGUUCGGAAGCGAUAACCGCUGAAAGCAUCUAAGCGGGAAGCGCGCCUCAAGAUGAGACUUCCCGGGGCACAAGCCCCCUAAAGGAACCAUGUAGACUACGUGGUUGAUAGGUCAGGUGUGU
Molecule: ribosomal RNA, 2714 nt
Filed under: Xanthomonas melonis
Lineage: Bacteria; Pseudomonadati; Pseudomonadota; Gammaproteobacteria; Lysobacterales; Lysobacteraceae
Description: bacterial LSU rRNA
Rfam family: Bacterial large subunit ribosomal RNA
Source: RNAcentral